GCCAGGCAUGGUAGCACGUGCCUGUAGUCCCAGCUACUUGGGAGGCUGAGACAGGAGAAUCACUUGAAUCCAGGAGGUGGGGGUUGCAGUGAGCCGAGAUCUCACCACUGCAUUCCAGCCUGGGUGACAGAGUGAGACUCUGUCUCAA
This 148-nucleotide non-coding RNA is filed under the name Pan troglodytes (chimpanzee). The record is from Rfam by way of RNAcentral. Lineage: Eukaryota; Metazoa; Chordata; Mammalia; Primates; Hominidae.